RNAcentral lists this ribosomal RNA (402 nucleotides) under Microbacterium sp. Its description in RNAcentral is "partial 23S ribosomal RNA". It matches the Rfam family "Bacterial large subunit ribosomal RNA", at positions 2523 to 2925 of the family's 2925-position model. Lineage: Bacteria; Bacillati; Actinomycetota; Actinomycetes; Micrococcales; Microbacteriaceae. The record is from RNAcentral.
ACCUCGAUGUCGGCUCGUCGCAUCCUGGGGCUGGAGUAGGUCCCAAGGGUUGGGCUGUUCGCCCAUUAAAGCGGUACGCGAGCUGGGUUUAGAACGUCGUGAGACAGUUCGGUCCCUAUCCGCUGCGCGCGUAGGAAAUUUGAGAGGAUCUGACCCUAGUACGAGAGGACCGGGUUGGACGAACCUCUGGUGUGCCAGUUGUUCUGCCAAGAGCACCGCUGGUUAGCUACGUUCGGGAUGGAUAACCGCUGAAAGCAUCUAAGCGGGAAGCCGGCCUCAAGAUGAGAUUUCCAUGCCUUCGGGCGAGAGGCUCCCAGCCAGACUACUGGGUUGAUAGGCGAGAUGUGGAAGCGUGGUAACACGUGCAGCUGACUCGUACUAAUAAGCCGAUGACUUGAUAAC